GUGUGUGUGUGUGUUGUGUCUCAAGGUCACGCAUGUGCUUGCCAGGUAGAAGGAUGAAAGGAACAAAGGUAUAGUAGACAGGGAAAACCCCGUGUAUACAAUGAAAACAAAAAAAGUCUGGUUGAUCAGGGAAUUUUAAGCAGCCAUUAAAGAGAUUCAAAGCAGCUGAGGUAAGAGCAAGAUGCUAGAGGGACAGUGACAUCAUCAAGAAUGCAGGUACUGUGUGACAGUGACAUCCUCAAGAGUGCAGGUACUGUGUGACAGUGACAUCCUCAAGAGUGCAGGUACUGUGUGACAGUGACAUCCUCAAGAGUGCAGGUACUGUGUGACAGUGACAUCCUCAAGAGUGCAGGUACUGUGUGACAGUGACAUCCUCAAGAGUGCAGGUACUGUGUGACAGUGACAUCCCCAAGAGUGCAGGUACUGUGUGACAGUGACAUCCUCAAGAGUGCAGGUACUGUGUGACAGUGACAUCCUCAAGAGUGCAGGUACUGUGUGACAGUGACAUCCUCAAGAGUGCAGGUACUGUGUGACAGUGACAUCAGCAGGAUUACGGCAUGAAUCUGUGAGGUCAGAGACCACAGGCAGGAGGAACUUGAGGGUCCUACCCGAAGAUGUCUGAGGUCCAGGCCCAGGGGCUGACCCUCUCAAUAGAGAAGGUAGAUUCCCUUGUAGGGAACAGGGUCAGUAGUAAUGCCAGGAUCUUAGCUUGAGACAGGAAGAAAUGCAUUUCAUGUGGAAAACUCCACCUCGAAGGUUUUGGAGGACCAGUAGUGGUUUGUCUGCACAGAUUGCUCACAGCUCUUUGCAGAGUGCUCUCUGGGACCGGAGGCGGCCAUCCUCCAGUGAAGGCCUUACAGCUCCAAAAAGUGCAUUCAUUUACUGUCACCCGUCCCCAGGGACCAUCUGUGGGCAAAGUGCAGCCUGGCUGCUCUAUGACGAUGAGUAGAGAUCAGUUUUUAAAAGUAUUUUAUGGGGCUGGAGAGAUGGCUCAGUAGUAAAGAGCACUGUCUGUUCUUCCGGAGGUCCUGAGUUCAAAUCCCAGCAACCACAUGGUGGCUCACAACCAUCUGUAAUGAGAUCUGAUGCCCUCUUCUGGUGUGUCUGAAGACAGCUACA
Apodemus sylvaticus (European woodmouse) is the source of this 1119-nucleotide long non-coding RNA. RefSeq lists it as uncharacterized. The transcript is spliced from 4 exons. NCBI's taxonomy places the organism in Eukaryota, Metazoa, Chordata, Mammalia, Rodentia, Muridae. The record is from RefSeq and is a predicted model, not a curated record.